GGGUUGUGAGGUUAAGCGACUAAGCGUACACGGUGGAUGCCCUGGCAGUCAGAGGCGAUGAAGGACGUGCUAAUCUGCGAUAAGCGCCGGUAAGGUGAUAUGAACCGUUAUAACCGGCGAUUUCCGAAUGGGGAAACCCAGUGUGAUUCGUCACACUAUCAUUAACUGAAUCCAUAGGUUAAUGAGGCGAACCGGGGGAACUGAAACAUCUAAGUACCCCGAGGAAAAGAAAUCAACCGAGAUUCCCCCAGUAGCGGCGAGCGAACGGGGAGGAGCCCAGAGCCUGAAUCAGCAUGUGUGUUAGUGGAAGCGUCUGGAAAGGCGCGCGAUACAGGGUGACAGCCCCGUACACAAAAGCGCAUGUGCUGUGAGCUCGAUGAGUAGGGCGGGACACGUGGUAUCCUGUCUGAAUAUGGGGGGACCAUCCUCCAAGGCUAAAUACUCCUGACUGACCGAUAGUGAACCAGUACCGUGAGGGAAAGGCGAAAAGAACCCCGGCGAGGGGAGUGAAAAAGAACCUGAAACCGUGUACGUACAAGCAGUGGGAGCACCCUUCGGGGUGUGACUGCGUACCUUUUGUAUAAUGGGUCAGCGACUUAUAUUCUGUAGCAAGGUUAACCGUAUAGGGGAGCCGGAGGGAAACCGAGUCUUAAUUGGGCGUUAAGUUGCAGGGUAUAGACCCGAAACCCGGUGAUCUAGCCAUGGGCAGGUUGAAGGUUGGGUAACACUAACUGGAGGACCGAACCGACUAAUGUUGAAAAAUUAGCGGAUGACCUGUGGCUGGGGGUGAAAGGCCAAUCAAACCGGGAGAUAGCUGGUUCUCCCCGAAAGCUAUUUAGGUAGCGCCUCGUGAAUUCAUCUCCGGGGGUAGAGCACUGUUUCGGCUAGGGGGCCAUCCCGGCUUACCAACCCGAUGCAAACUGCGAAUACCGGAGAAUGUUAUCACGGGAGACACACGGCGGGUGCUAACGUCCGUCGUGAAGAGGGAAACAACCCAGACCGCCAGCUAAGGUCCCAAAGUCAUGGUUAAGUGGGAAACGAUGUGGGAAGGCCCAGACAGCCAGGAUGUUGGCUUAGAAGCAGCCAUCAUUUAAAGAAAGCGUAAUAGCUCACUGGUCGAGUCGGCCUGCGCGGAAGAUGUAACGGGGCUAAACCAUGCACCGAAGCUGCGGCAGCGAACGUAUCACCCAAGACAACUUUACGGAGUUGACGAUUGACGGAGCGAAGCGACGUCAAAGCGUUCAUUAAAGUCGAGUUGGCUUAGGGAUACGUUCGUUGGGUAGGGGAGCGUUCUGUAAGCCUGUGAAGGUGUGUCGUGAGGCAUGCUGGAGGUAUCAGAAGUGCGAAUGCUGACAUAAGUAACGAUAAAGCGGGUGAAAAGCCCGCUCGCCGGAAGACCAAGGGUUCCUGUCCAACGUUAAUCGGGGCAGGGUGAGUCGACCCCUAAGGCGAGGCCGAAAGGCGUAGUCGAUGGGAAACGGGUUAAUAUUCCCGUACUUGGUGUUACUGCGAAGGGGGGACGGAGAAGGCUAUGUUGGCCGGGCGACGGUUGUCCCGGUUUAAGCGUGUAGGUGUGUGUUCCAGGUAAAUCCGGUUCACUUUAACACUGAGGCGUGACGACGAGGCACUACGGUGCUGAAGCAACAAAUGCCCUGCUUCCAGGAAAAGCCUCUAAGCAUCAGGUAACACGAAAUCGUACCCCAAACCGACACAGGUGGUCAGGUAGAGAAUACCAAGGCGCUUGAGAGAACUCGGGUGAAGGAACUAGGCAAAAUGGUGCCGUAACUUCGGGAGAAGGCACGCUGACACGUAGGUGAAGUGAUUUACUCAUGGAGCUGAAGUCAGUCGAAGAUACCAGCUGGCUGCAACUGUUUAUUAAAAACACAGCACUGUGCAAACACGAAAGUGGACGUAUACGGUGUGACGCCUGCCCGGUGCCGGAA
This 1943-nucleotide ribosomal RNA is filed under the name Salmonella enterica subsp. enterica serovar Typhimurium. RNAcentral describes it as "partial 23S ribosomal RNA". It matches the Rfam family "Bacterial large subunit ribosomal RNA", at positions 1 to 1874 of the family's 2925-position model. The record is from RNAcentral. Lineage: Bacteria; Pseudomonadati; Pseudomonadota; Gammaproteobacteria; Enterobacterales; Enterobacteriaceae.